CCUACGGGUGGCAGCAGUGAGGAAUAUUGGUCAAUGGGCGUAAGCCUGAACCAGCCAAGUCGCGUGAGGGAUGAAGGUUCUAUGGAUCGUAAACCUCUUUUAUAAGGGAAUAAAGUGUGGGACGUGUCCUAUGUUGUAUGUACCUUAUGAAUAAGGAUCGGCUAACUCCGUGCCAGCAGCCGCGGUAAUACGGAGGAUCCGAGCGUUAUCCGGAUUUAUUGGGUUUAAAGGGUGCGUAGGCGGCCUUUUAAGUCAGCGGUGAAAGGCGGUGGCUCAACCAUGGAAUGGCCGUUGAAACUGGGGGUCUUGAGUAUGUGUGAGGCAGGCGGAAUGCGUGGUGUAGCGGUGAAAUGCUUAGAUAGCGCGCAGAACCCCGAUUGCGAAGGCAGCCUGCCGGUCCAUGACUGACGCUGAGGCACGAAAGCGUGGGGAUCAAACAGGAUUAGAUACCCGAGUAGUC
This 460-nucleotide ribosomal RNA is filed under the name uncultured bacterium. RNAcentral describes it as "partial 16S ribosomal RNA". It matches the Rfam family "Bacterial small subunit ribosomal RNA", at positions 338 to 795 of the family's 1533-position model. The record is from RNAcentral.